RNAcentral lists this transfer RNA (86 nucleotides) under Hofstenia miamia. RNAcentral's name for it is "tRNA-SeC(e) for anticodon UCA". It matches the Rfam family "Selenocysteine transfer RNA". Lineage: Eukaryota; Metazoa; Xenacoelomorpha; Acoela; Hofsteniidae. The record is from RNAcentral.
GCCCAACUGAGCUUCGGUGGUCCGGGGUGCAGGCUUCAAACCUGUAGCUGCUUAGCGGCAGAGUGGUUCGAUUCCACCUGGUGGGC